Physella acuta is the source of this 256-nucleotide long non-coding RNA. RefSeq lists it as uncharacterized. The record is from RefSeq and is a predicted model, not a curated record. Lineage: Eukaryota; Metazoa; Mollusca; Gastropoda; Physidae.
GGGUUUAAUGUAACGGAAAUUUUCAAUCCCUGCAACUACAAAUGGAGAAGCUGUUUACAGUACCUAACAACAGCAAACAAGGCAGGAAACAUUUGCCAAGGCAUAAAAUUAUUCUGGGCGUGUGUUUACCGUACACCAUGUAGGCCAAGCAUUGUUUUUGAGGGUACCGUCUACUACGAAUUGGAAAACAGAGUGAAAAGUUACCCGUAUGAUGUACAGGCUCAAUGCGGUUUGAGUUUUAAAGGAAGAUUGGAAG